This 450-nucleotide ribosomal RNA is filed under the name uncultured bacterium. Its description in RNAcentral is "partial 16S ribosomal RNA". It matches the Rfam family "Bacterial small subunit ribosomal RNA", at positions 338 to 795 of the family's 1533-position model. The record is from RNAcentral.
CCUACGGGAGGCUGCAGUGGGGAAUUUUGCGCAAUGGGCGAAAGCCUGACGCAGCAACGCCGCGUGGGUGAUGAAGGUCUUCGGAUCGUAAAACCCUGUCGUUGGGGACGAAGGUGGGGGCGUUAAUAGCGUUUCUGCUUGACGGUACCCGGAGAGGAAGCCCCGGCUAACUCUGUGCCAGCAGCCGCGGUAAUCAAGAGGGGGCAAGCGUGAUUCGGAAGGAGUGGGCGUGAUUGGCGAGGGCGGGGGUGUAAUCCCCGAGCUCAACGUGGGAACUGCAGCUGAGACUGGAAGGCUAGAGUACUGGAGAGGGUGGUGGAAUUCCUCGUGUAGCGGUGAAAUGCGUAGAGAUGAGGAGGAACACCAGUGGCGAAGGCGGCCACCUGGACAGUAACUGACGCUGAGGCGCGAAAGUGUGGGUAGCAAACAGGAUUAGAUACCCUAGUAGUC